RNAcentral lists this ribosomal RNA (253 nucleotides) under uncultured bacterium. RNAcentral describes it as "partial 16S ribosomal RNA". It matches the Rfam family "Bacterial small subunit ribosomal RNA", at positions 524 to 776 of the family's 1533-position model. The record is from RNAcentral.
UACAGAGGGGGCAAGCGUUGUUCGGAAUUACUGGGCGUAAAGGGCGCGUAGGCGGCCUUCUAAGUCGAACGUGAAAUCCCCGGGCUCAACCCGGGAACUGCGUCCGAUACUGGGAGGCUUGAAUCCGGGAGAGGGAUGUGGAAUUCCAGGUGUAGCGGUGAAAUGCGUAGAUAUCUAGAGGAACACCGGUGGCGAAGGCGGCAUCCUGGACCGGCAUUGACGCUGAGGAGCGAAAGCCAGGGGAGCAAACGGG